UGGGGAAUUUUGCACAAUGGGGGAAACCCUGAUGCAGCGACGCCGCGUGAUUUAGAAGGCCUUCGGGUUGUAAAAAUCUUUUCUAUGGGAAGAAAAUGACAGUACCAUAGGAAUAAGGACCGGCUACUUACGUGCCAGCAGCCGCGGUAAUACGUAAGGUCCGAGCGUUGUCCGGAAUCAUUGGGCGUAAAGGGUACGUAGGCGGGUAAGCAAGUUAGAAGUGAAAUCCUAUAGCUCAACUAUAGUAAGCUUUUAAAACUGCUCAUCUUGAGGUAUGGAAGGGAAAGUGGAAUUCCUGGUGUAGCGGUGAAAUGCGCAGAGAUUAGGAGGAAUACCGGUGGCGAAGGCGGCUUUCUGGCCAUAACCUGACGCUGAGGUACGAAAGCGUGGGGAGCAAACAGG
This 402-nucleotide ribosomal RNA is filed under the name bacterium. RNAcentral's name for it is "partial 16S ribosomal RNA". It matches the Rfam family "Bacterial small subunit ribosomal RNA", at positions 355 to 776 of the family's 1533-position model. The record is from RNAcentral.